GUUGGGUUAGGGGUCAGCUUUAUGUUCUCCCUCACACUAUGCACGUUGCUAAGAGCAACAAGAAUGGUCUCUCUCCUCUCCAUUCAAAACAAUAGACUCAAUCAACCAUUUAACCUCACAAACCGUGAAACCGUGAAGAACACCAAAAAGAUUCAGUUGUGUCCCUUUCCCCCUCACCAUCUUCAAAAUCCGUAAGCCAAAGAAAGAUGAUAAAACCCCUAAGCACCUCCUUCUUUCCCCUCUUCUCUGGUUAAACCGAGGAUCAACAAGCAAGGAGGAUAAACUUGAGCUCUCAUCCUUCAUCCUUUUCCCCUGUGCGCACGACCAACAUCAACCAGAAGUAGGCAAUCUGAACUUGAUUUCUUGAAGCUUAGGAAGGAUAAAAGACUACUCCUUGUCCGAUUUGGGGUCCCUUGAGUGCAAGCACGGAGAUUCGUACAACCCAUGGAUUGGGGACAUGCAAGCCCAAAACCCCUAAGGAUGCCGUUUCUCCUUUCUUCUUUUAGUUGGCUGAGCCGUUAGCAUCAAGGGGAUGAAAUGCCCCCUAACUUUGUGCGUUUUCUUGGCUCCUCACGGUGUUAUGGAGUCUCCCCUCACUGCAUGCCGCUGGAAACUCAAGCCAUUGGAAAUGUGGAAAGGUUAAAGACAAUGUUCGGAGACUAGGUGGCUGUUUUCCUCAACCUUUUAGAGAGAAUGUGGUUACAUGCAAGAACGAGUGAGCCUCCCUACCUUGUGUAUUCUCUGAUUUCGACGCAUGAUAGGAUGAGUGAGUGUCAUUUUCUGUUUUAAAUUCACGGACAGUGGGAAGGUGAGGGUACUGCCUCUCGCUUGGGGGAUGCUUAUGAACCGAGUGGAGAGCGAGUUGGGUACAUGCUAGAGGUACGCAAGAUCCUAGCUAAUUGGACUGUUUGAUGAUAUUUGGUUACAAGAUUAUACGCGCAGAGGAAGAUAAAGAAGUGUUUGAUGAGUUGAUUACAGGACAGAUUAUGUUAAAAUUUUGCUAUUUGGGAACCUUGCUGUUGGUUCACUGUUUCUGUUGGUCAUGCACUGUAUAUUCGUGGUUAAUGUAAUGCUUUGUACAGGGGUUAAUUUGAUUUCGUGCUUUGAUUUUGUGGUGAAACAUGGCUGUAUUAGGAAGUUUACAUCAGUGCAUGGAAUCCUGGUAAACGUGUCUCAUGUUACUGUUAUUCGAAAAAUUCAGAUUAAACCAGUUAUGUUUUCUCGGUGUAAAGAGUGAUUCAAGUGGCUAGAAUAUGUAAGGUGAUGAUGAUUAAUUGCAGGAAGUAACUA
This is a long non-coding RNA of Gastrolobium bilobum, 1290 nucleotides long. RefSeq lists it as uncharacterized. The transcript is spliced from 4 exons. The record is from RefSeq and is a predicted model, not a curated record. NCBI's taxonomy places the organism in Eukaryota, Viridiplantae, Streptophyta, Magnoliopsida, Fabales, Fabaceae.